Molecule: long non-coding RNA, 1124 nt
Organism: Diabrotica virgifera virgifera (western corn rootworm)
Lineage: Eukaryota; Metazoa; Arthropoda; Insecta; Coleoptera; Chrysomelidae
Exons: 3
Source: RefSeq, a predicted model, not a curated record
GGCAACCAAGUGACGUCAACAACGUCGAGGAAACGUCAGUAUUUGGUGGAAUAUAUACACGUGGUUGAACAUUACGUCAUAUCGACGUCUUUUGUAGGUGAUUUUCAAUACGUAAGAUUAAUGACGUUAAAAUACGUUUAAAAGACGUUUUCAUUUCAGCCAGCCUAAGUCUGACGUCACGAAAUUGGGAGGAGCUUGGAGCUUAAAAGUUACAAAACUAAGGUUAUGUUUUAUGUUUGUAUCGUCGUUGUCGUUUGUUUGUCCUAGUAUUUUAUCAUAUUUUGGAUUCAUUUGGAUUUUGUUGGCUGUUUUGUGUGUAUUUUUUAAAACUUUUGUUUGUCAUUUGUAAAUUUUAUAAAUUUACCACAAUGCAAAGUGACUAUUUAAGGAAAUUAUUAUUGGAAACUCCGCAGAUGUUUUAGAAAGAUAUUCAUUGAAGCUGAAAAUAAUUGGAGAUUUAGAUCCAUAUACAAUUCAGUCAUCAGAAUUGGAUUUUACAGUGCAUUCCAUUAAUUACUAUAUAAUGCUAUUAUAGAUAGACUGGUAGAGUCUCACAGUUACUACUUUAAGCAGCAGAUGAAAGUAUACAAAAGCCUUCAGACACAUAAAAGCCUUCACAACUGGAUUUGUUUUGAAACAUUUGAUGUUUUGAUGAUUUCUAUAUUAUUGUUGGAAAGGUGAAGAAUUCCCAAAAAGCUAAUGCUAAACCACUAGAUGCUUGGGUGAUAGCCAGUUCCAAUGGCAUAGCAAAUGCACCUUGUAUGUGUAUUGCCGGUAAUAGUGAAGUUUGCAGCCAUAUUGCAGCAAUCUUAUUUGCAGCUGAGUAUGCCCACAGCAAGACAGAAGAAGAAGAACCCAGUGCAUGUACAGAUGUUACAGCUAUGUAUAUUCUCUGGUGAAAAACUAAUGAGUUUUCAAGCUGUUCAGUCAGAGUGCUUGUUGCGCUCUCUAAACGAACUGAAAUAUAAGACGGCUUUGGCUUCAUGUUGCAGCGAUAUGAAAAUGGUUAGUCAUUUUUAAUUAUAAUGUACUUCUUCAUCAUGAGUAUUUAUGUAUAGGGCUUUUCAUUCACAGUCAUUUGUUUCGAGCUUCUGUCAUGUGUAACAUAAUAUUAAUAUUAUAUU